RNAcentral lists this ribosomal RNA (331 nucleotides) under uncultured Allapsidae. RNAcentral's name for it is "SSU rRNA". The stretch from base 91 to 331 matches the Rfam family "Eukaryotic small subunit ribosomal RNA", at positions 716 to 955 of the family's 1831-position model. The record is from RNAcentral. Lineage: Eukaryota; Cercozoa; Glissomonadida; Viridiraptoridae.
GAUUUCUGACGAAACUGCUAGCUGGCCCGCCACGCAAGUGUGUGAGUGCCGGCUUGGCGUUUGUCAUCCGUUCGAAUGAUAUGCGUGCUGCCCUUCACUGGGUUGGCGCUGCAUGUUUUCGAUCUUUUACUUUGAAAAAAUUAGAGUGUUUCAAGCAGGCAUGUUUUGCUAUGAAUACAUUAGCAUGGAAUAAUAAUUUAGGACUUUGGUCUUAUUUUGUUGGUUUCUAGGACUAAAGUAAUGAUUGAUAGGGACAGUUGGGGGUGCUAGUAUUCAGCGGCCAGAGGUGAAAUUCUUGGAUUCGCUGAAGACUAACUUAUGCGAAAGCAUU